Molecule: ribosomal RNA, 610 nt
Filed under: uncultured Sphingomonas sp.
Lineage: Bacteria; Pseudomonadati; Pseudomonadota; Alphaproteobacteria; Sphingomonadales; Sphingomonadaceae
Description: bacterial SSU rRNA
Rfam family: Bacterial small subunit ribosomal RNA (bases 3-462)
Source: RNAcentral
CAGAACGCUGGCGGCAGCUAAGAUUUAAAAGUCGAACGAAGCCUCCGGGCUUAGUGGCGCACGGGUGCGUAACGGGAAUCUGCCUCUUGCUUCGGAAUAACAGUGGGAAACUACUGCUAAUACCGGAUGAUGUCUUCGGACCAAAGAUUUAUCGGCAAGAGAUGAGCCCGCGUAGGAUUAGGUAGUUGGUGGGGUAAAGGCCUACCAAGCCGACGAUCCUUAGCUGGUCUGAGAGGAUGAUCAGCCACACUGGGACUGAGACACGGCCCAGACUCCUACGGGAGGCAGCAGUGGGGAAUAUUGGACAAUGGGGGAAACCCUGAUCCAGCAAUAGCGCGUGAGUGAUGAAGUGCUUAGGGUUGUAAAGCUCUUUUACCAGGGAUGAUAAUGACAGUACCUGGAGAAUAAGCUCCGGCUAACUCCGUGACAGCAGACGAGGUAAUACGGAGGGAGCUAACCGUUGUUCGGGAAAUAACUGGGCGGUAACGCGCAACGUAGGGCGGAUACUCAAGUUCAGACCGUUAAAGCCCCGGAGCAUCACCCCAGGAAAUUGCCAUUUGAAAACUACGGUAAACUAGAAAUUCCUGGCAGAACGUGAGUAGUAAACCGA